UGUGGGAUUCCCGUCCACCUGGUGGACGUGAAAUCUGAUUGGUUGAUCAGCAUCAUGAAGGAUUUUGAUUGGUUGCAAGUUCACAUAAACAACAGUUUUAAAAAUAGCUCGGUCAAGGCGAGAAUUAAUAUAAAAGUCAAACGCACGUAACAAAUUCCAUUAUCGAUUUCUUCAAAUUUCUUUUCUUUUAUGCUUUAUGGCAGGAAAUAAAUCAAACAAACAGUAUUUUGAAAGGGCUUCAUCAAAAUCUUUGACGAAUUUCGGACACACUGAAAGAACAGCCAAACUAGUCAUGUAUUCGAAAGCUUGUUGUUGACAGCCAAGAUGGUCUGCCAACUUGCUUCUCCGGCAAAAGUCUUAUUUCUAAUAUCAGGUCUUACCGGCGUUGUUUUCUUAGCUACAUCGCCUUCUUCGUGGUAUGAUUGAGAAUUU
Paramuricea clavata is the source of this 432-nucleotide non-coding RNA. The record is from the annotation of a GenBank genome assembly. NCBI's taxonomy places the organism in Eukaryota, Metazoa, Cnidaria, Anthozoa, Malacalcyonacea, Plexauridae.